Molecule: unclassified non-coding RNA, 436 nt
Filed under: uncultured Tomentella
Lineage: Eukaryota; Fungi; Basidiomycota; Agaricomycetes; Thelephorales; Thelephoraceae
Description: sequence contains ITS2
Rfam family: 5.8S ribosomal RNA (bases 1-155)
Source: RNAcentral
AACUUUUGGCAAUGGAUCUCGUGGCUCUCGCAUCGAUGAAGAACGCAGCGAAAUGCGAUAAGUAGUGUGAAUUGCAGAAUUCAGUGAAUCAUCGAAUCUUUGAACGCACCUUGCGCCCUGUGGCUAUUCCGAAGGGCAUGCCUGUUUGAGUAUCAUGACCACCUCAACUCUCAUGUUGUGUCGUGAUGAGCUUGGACUUUGGGGGUCUUGCUGGCCUAUGGUCAGCUCCUCUCAAAUGGAUCAGCUUGCCAGUGUUUGGUGGCAUCGAAGGUGUGAUAACUAUCUACGCUUGUGGUCUCCCACCAGGUAACUCUCAGCAAUGGGGGUUCGCUGGAGCUCAUAAAUGUCUCUCCUCAGUGAGGACAGCUUUUGAACGUUUGAUCUCCAAUCAGGUAGGACUACCCGCUGAACUUAAGCAUAUCAAUAAGCGGAGGCU